AGAGUUUGAUCCUGGCUCAGGACGAACGCUGGCGGCGUGCCUAAUACAUGCAAGUCGAACGCACUCUCGUUUAGAUUGAAGGAGCUUGCUCCUGAUUGAUAAACAUUUGAGUGAGUGGCGGACGGGUGAGUAACACGUGGGUAACCUGCCCUAAAGUGGGGGAUAACAUUUGGAAACAGGUGCUAAUACCGCAUAAAACCUAACACCGCAUGGUGUAGGGUUGAAAGAUGGUUUCGGCUAUCACUUUAGGAUGGACCCGCGGUGCAUUAGUUAGUUGGUGAGGUAAAGGCUCACCAAGACCGUGAUGCAUAGCCGACCUGAGAGGGUAAUCGGCCACACUGGGACUGAGACACGGCCCAGACUCCUACGGGAGGCAGCAGUAGGGAAUCUUCCACAAUGGACGAAAGUCUGAUGGAGCAACGCCGCGUGAGUGAAGAAGGUUUUCGGAUCGUAAAACUCUGUUAUUGGAGAAGAAUGUAUCUGAUAGUAACUGAUCAGGUAGUGACGGUAUCCAACCAGAAAGCCACGGCUAACUACGUGCCAGCAGCCGCGGUAAUACGUAGGUGGCAAGCGUUGUCC
This 579-nucleotide ribosomal RNA is filed under the name uncultured Lactobacillus sp. RNAcentral describes it as "bacterial SSU rRNA". It matches the Rfam family "Bacterial small subunit ribosomal RNA", at positions 8 to 546 of the family's 1533-position model. The record is from RNAcentral. Lineage: Bacteria; Bacillati; Bacillota; Bacilli; Lactobacillales; Lactobacillaceae.